UGGGGAAUUUUGGACAAUGGGCGAAAGCCUGAUCCAGCAAUGCCGCGUGUGUGAAGAAGGCCUUCGGGUUGUAAAGCACUUUUGUCCGGAAAGAAAUCCUUGGCUCUAAUACAGUCGGGGGAUGACGGUACCGGAAGAAUAAGCACCGGCUAACUACGUGCCAGCAGCCGCGGUAAUACGUAGGGUGCAAGCGUUAAUCGGAAUUACUGGGCGUAAAGCGUGCGCAGGCGGUUUGCUAAGACCGAUGUGAAAUCCCCGGGCUCAACCUGGGAACUGCAUUGGUGACUGGCAGGCUAGAGUAUGGCAGAGGGGGGUAGAAUUCCACGUGUAGCAGUGAAAUGCGUAGAGAUGUGGAGGAAUACCGAUGGCGAAGGCAGCCCCCUGGGCCAAUACUGACGCUCAUGCACGAAAGCGUGGGGAGCAAACAGGAUUAGAUACCCUGGUAGUCCACGCCCUAAACGAUGUUAACUAGUUGUUGGGGAUUCAUUUCCUUAGUAACGUAGCUAACGCGUGAAGUUGACCGCCUGGGGAGUACGGUCGCAAGAUU
This 547-nucleotide ribosomal RNA is filed under the name uncultured bacterium. RNAcentral's name for it is "partial 16S ribosomal RNA". It matches the Rfam family "Bacterial small subunit ribosomal RNA", at positions 355 to 895 of the family's 1533-position model. The record is from RNAcentral.